Cajanus cajan (pigeon pea) is the source of this 270-nucleotide non-coding RNA. Lineage: Eukaryota; Viridiplantae; Streptophyta; Magnoliopsida; Fabales; Fabaceae. The record is from RefSeq and is a predicted model, not a curated record.
UCCAUCAACAUUUCAUCAGAGCUGCUUGGAUAUACAGAUGCUUCCUCCCGGUGAAUGGCAUUGUCCAAAUUGCACAUGUAAAUUUUGUGGCAUAGCCCGUGGUACUUCUGAAAAAGAUGAUGCAUCUGUGUAUGUCCUACGUACUUGCAACUUAUGCGAGAAGAAAUAUCAUGACUCUUGCACUAAGGAGAUGGAUACCCUUCCUAAUAACUUCAAUACAUCAAGCCUUUCUUUUUGUGGGAAAGAAUGCAAAGAGGUACCUCUUACAGU